This is a long non-coding RNA of Gallus gallus (chicken), 558 nucleotides long. The record is from Ensembl. Lineage: Eukaryota; Metazoa; Chordata; Aves; Galliformes; Phasianidae.
CCGAACUUAAGUGUAGUCUUCACUUGUUUGUAGGAACAGAUGCACUCCUUUCCAGCUGUUUCGGUGUCUGUUUUGGCUUUAGUAGACCAAAGUGCAUGUAGUGGCUCCGUAUGGGAACCAGCACACCCAAAUGCAAAAUGUGAGUAAUAAGAGGAAGAAGUGUCAAGCAUGACAGGACGGUCAGCUUUCUUUAUCUGACUGUUUGUUAGUUGGCUUUGCUGAACUGUUGGGGUUGUACAACCCAGAAGUAGUACAGACAAGGAUGAAGUUGUGGCUGAAACAUUUUGGGAGGUCCUGGUUUGUCAUAUCUGGAACACAGCCUUUCCCAGGGGAAUUCAGGGAAGCCUCUUGGAUAGGACUGGAGAAAGGAAGGGGUAUUCUUUCCUCAGCCCUACCACUUCAAACUUACACCUGCUCCCUGUGCUUUCUGAGCCUGUGUUCUGAAGUGGAAGGGAAGACUUCAACCAGGAAUCACCAGAUCCGUCUGCAGAAUGGAAAUACUCUGUUUACCUGAGCAGGUUGUACCAGAGAUUCUUCAUCCUUUGCCUACCAUGACAG